AUCCAGCGUGGGAGCAGCUCAGCGAUUAACCUGUGGAGCAGGAAAGUCCAGCGAUGGGGAGCUGGUCACGGCAGUGGGUGAAAGCAGAGGUGGUCAUCUGGCGAGGGGAGGGAAGCAGAUGAUGCCCAGCAAGGUGGAAGGAGAAGUGGACGGGAGAAACCUCGGGGCAUUCCUGAGGGCCCAGGAACUGCAAUAAAUGAUCACAGGUGAGGGGUUCCUGCCCGCUGCCUGCCGGCUGAGCGUGGCGAGCUGGGUGCCAGGCGCCUCCCAGGAGGAAGCUGUCUCGGCUUUGGGCGGUAGGUGCCAUGGGUGUGCUUGUGCCCAAGGGGGGCACUCAGGGGAGUUGCAGGCAGCCACCAGCUGAGACCAGCAGCUCACGGGGUGUGAAGGACUACAGAGAGAGCCAGGUUUUGUGCCAUGCACACAGGGAGGCUUAGAGUUCAGAGAGGAGGUGUGAUUCUGA
This 463-nucleotide small RNA is filed under the name Pongo abelii (Sumatran orangutan). RNAcentral describes it as "processed transcript". Lineage: Eukaryota; Metazoa; Chordata; Mammalia; Primates; Hominidae. The record is from RNAcentral.